CACAAUUGAAUAGGCUCCUCAAGGGCGGUCGGCUCAUCCCCUCACGAAAGGGGGUGAGCUCGGUAUGACGGAAUUUCAGACUCUGACUGUGAUGAUUGCUUUUGGUUCUCUGGUAACAGCGAUCAUCUUCGGCAUGUUGACUGUUCUCCUGUCCAUACUCAACCUGACAAAAAAGAAAUAGACCUCCCUUGAGCUUGGACGGCUAGGAGAAGGUCUAUUUCUAGCUUUACUGAGCCGACACCCUUGAAGGGUAUCUUUUGUGCCAACGGCCGUAGGUGAUAGCAACACCUGCG
RNAcentral lists this small RNA (293 nucleotides) under Tumebacillus flagellatus. Its description in RNAcentral is "BsrG". It matches the Rfam family "BsrG". Rfam says of the family: bsrE, bsrG and bsrH pair through intermolecular interactions with antisense sRNAs. SR4 interaction with the 3'UTR of bsrG RNA promotes bsrG degradation and inhibits its translation. Lineage: Bacteria; Bacillati; Bacillota; Bacilli; Caryophanales; Alicyclobacillaceae. The record is from Rfam by way of RNAcentral.